GCCAGCGUAGCUCAGUGGUAGAGCACUCGAUUCGUAAUCGAGCGGUCGUCGGUUCAAUCCCGACCGCUGGCU
RNAcentral lists this transfer RNA (72 nucleotides) under Gemmatimonas sp. Its description in RNAcentral is "tRNA-Thr". It matches the Rfam family "tRNA". From Rfam's summary of the family: Transfer RNA (tRNA) molecules are approximately 80 nucleotides in length. Their secondary structure includes four short double-helical elements and three loops (D, anti-codon, and T loops). RNAcentral also lists the same sequence under 5 other names. Lineage: Bacteria; Pseudomonadati; Gemmatimonadota; Gemmatimonadia; Gemmatimonadales; Gemmatimonadaceae. The record is from RNAcentral.